This 475-nucleotide ribosomal RNA is filed under the name uncultured organism. Its description in RNAcentral is "partial 16S ribosomal RNA". It matches the Rfam family "Bacterial small subunit ribosomal RNA", at positions 334 to 800 of the family's 1533-position model. The record is from RNAcentral.
CACUCCUGCGGGAGGCAGCAGUGGGGAAUUUUGGACAAUGGGCGAAAGCCUGAUCCAGCCAUGCCGCGUGCAGGAUGAAGGCCUUCGGGUUGUAAACUGCUUUUGUACGGAACGAAACGGCCUUUUCUAAUAAAGAGGGCUAAUGACGGUACCGUAAGAAUAAGCACCGGCUAACUACGUGCCAGCAGCCGCGGUAAUACGUAGGGUGCAAGCGUUAAUCGGAAUUACUGGGCGUAAAGCGUGCGCAGGCGGUUAUGUAAGACAGUUGUGAAAUCCCCGGGCUCAACCUGGGAACUGCAUCUGUGACUGCAUAGCUAGAGUACGGUAGAGGAGGAUGGAAUUCCGCGUGUAGCAGUGAAAUGCGUAGAUAUGCGGAGGAACACCGAUGGCGAAGGCAAUCCCCUGGACCUGUACUGACGCUCAUGCACGAAAGCGUGGGGAGCAAACAGGAUUAGAAACCCGAGUAGUCCCAUGA